This 233-nucleotide unclassified non-coding RNA is filed under the name Glomeraceae sp. Its description in RNAcentral is "partial contains 5.8S ribosomal RNA and internal transcribed spacer 2". The stretch from base 1 to 71 matches the Rfam family "5.8S ribosomal RNA", at positions 84 to 154 of the family's 154-position model. Lineage: Eukaryota; Fungi; Glomeromycota; Glomeromycetes; Glomerales; Glomeraceae. The record is from RNAcentral.
GUGAAUCAUCAAAUCUUUGAACGCAAAUUGCGCUCUCUGGUAUUCCGGAGAGUAUGCCUGUUUGAGGGUCAGUUUAAAUAAAAAUCGGGGUGGUUGCUUCCUUUCGUGGUUACGCACCGGAUUUGGUUCGUCUUUCCUUCGGUUAUAUGACCUAAAAUUUUGCAUGAUUUUUUUCGAACGUAUUUAAAUGAUUUUACGUACUUUUGCUAUGUCGAAUACUAGUUUCUGUCAUC